Macadamia integrifolia is the source of this 1034-nucleotide long non-coding RNA. RefSeq lists it as uncharacterized. NCBI's taxonomy places the organism in Eukaryota, Viridiplantae, Streptophyta, Magnoliopsida, Proteales, Proteaceae. The transcript has 3 exons. The record is from RefSeq and is a predicted model, not a curated record.
GCCAUGGAGCACAAAGCCCAUGAGGAGCUCAACGGCCCGGGGGUCGAACUAAAAUGGGGGCCACAUCAAUUGGGGGAGAUGAUGGAAGGGAAAAGGCUCUAGGAUACAUCAAUUGUAAGUCAGUAUUCUCAGUGCCUCUGAUUUUUUUUCCCCUAAUUAUCGUGUAAUAAACUGUUGAGAAGUAGAUAGCCUGAUUGAUCUCUUUUUUAGAAUUCAUUAACAGAAUCUAUAAAAUGUCAUUUUUCUGUAGGUAAUCACUUAUCAAGUGUGUGAUUGAUGUCUUCUUUGGAAUUCAUGAGCAGAAUCAACAAACUGUCAUUUUUCUACAGGAAAUGACUUUUCAAGAGCCUGAUUGAUGUCUUCUUUGGAAUUCAUGAACAGAAUCUAUAAAUUGUCAUUUUUCUGCAGGAAGUCACUUAUCAAGAGCCUAAUUGAUGUCUUCUUAGGAAUUCAUGAACAGGAUUUGUAAAUUGUAAUUCUUGUGCAGGAAAUUACUUAUCAAGAGCAUGCUAAGGGAGAACCAGAGCAUCGGCUAAGUAAACAAAAUGGAUUGGGAUGGUGCUGUCACGGGUCACGACUAAACUAAAUAUGCAGGCCAAAGAAGUUAUACGAUCAACAGGAAGCAACAAUAAUCAGAGAUGGUAGAUGUAGAGAGUUUAGAGAUUCAAAAAAGAAACAAAACCUUAUCCGCAGCACCGAGGAAGAAAUCAAAUCCAAGCUAGUGUUUGAUCUAUUUUGGAUGGUGAAAACAUGCUCAGAUAGUUGGUCACUCUUGCAUCUGAAAAGAUGGAAAUUGAUGUUGGAGACAAGUGACGCCUUGACAAGCCUAAGCAUUGGAGUGAAAAGAAUCUAGGUGACACUAACUAGGCACCUAAGCGACGCCUAGACAACUUUGUUCUAUAUUUUUCUAUUUUUAUCUGUUACUUAUGCUCCUUUGAUUGUGGAUUGUUGACUAGUUAUUGUAUUAUAUAUUCCAGAUUCCUGAGGCAGGCAUUAAGAAAUGAUUCAAUUAGAUAUUACUGGAGUUGCUUUUA